ACUGCUUUCUGACAAGAUUGUCUUGGGCUUUUAUUCAUAACCUGGGACGGAACCCGCCCUGGGGAUCCAGUCUAACAUCAGUGGUGUCUGUGGCAUUAGGGGCUUUCUGACAAGAGGGAACCUGAAGUAACCUGUGGCAGGAAACCCUACCAAGCACUUCAGCGGUUUUCCCUCAAGAAAGCCCUAGAGGUCAAGAACGAAGAUUCUUACCACACACAACAAAUUCACAAAAUUCACCUAGUCUGUGCAAACUGAAGGCCUUGAGGAUUGAGUCAAAUGUGUCCACAGACACGGACUAUGAUGUUCUCAUUUGGGAACUCAGGAUCUCAGGACUCCAUGAGUUGCCCACUGUACCUUCAGAAGACCUUUCAAAGAGCAAGCCUGACCCCGCCACCAUGGGUCUUUGAGCAGCACCAUGGACUUCAAGGUCAUUUCCCUCAGAAUCACUCAGGCUGUGAUGUGAUGGCAUUGGCGGAGCCCAGUCAAGGCACUGACAGCCUGAGGGGAAGCCACUCCUGGCUGUGAAGCUUCCAGUAGUGGUGAAAUAUUUGGGAGGAUUCAAGUCAUGUCCUGAUGGUCUUGUUUGAAGACUACAGUGUUUUACACCAUAAUUUGUUUUUAAAUGGAAGACCUGCAGGGUCAUCUCACCUAAACGUCCAUCCUAGAGAGAAGCUGACGGUGAGGCUGCUGCACCAGAUGGCGGCCGUGGGGAGUGAUCCUGUCACAGCAGGUUCCACUGGAACAGGAUUCUCUGGCCACCUCCAGGGUAGAGAUGCUUAUCCCAGGAGAAGAGGACAUGGGACAAGAGGCCUC
This 813-nucleotide long non-coding RNA is filed under the name Homo sapiens (human). RNAcentral describes it as "HSALNT0347688". Lineage: Eukaryota; Metazoa; Chordata; Mammalia; Primates; Hominidae. The record is from RNAcentral.